Piliocolobus tephrosceles (Ugandan red Colobus) is the source of this 104-nucleotide small nuclear RNA. The record is from Ensembl. NCBI's taxonomy places the organism in Eukaryota, Metazoa, Chordata, Mammalia, Primates, Cercopithecidae.
AUGCCCACUUCAGCAGCACAUAUGCUAAAAUAGGAAUGACACAGAGAUUAACAUGGCCCCUAUGCAAGGAUGACACACAAAUUCGUGAAGCAUGCUAUAUUUUU